CAUCGAUGAAGAACGUAGCGAAAUGCGAUACUUGGUGUGAAUUGCAGAAUCCCGUGAACCAUCGAGUUUUUGAACGCAAGUUGCGCCCGAGGCUAUUUGGCCGAGGGCACGCCUGCCUGGGCGUCAUGCC
Molecule: ribosomal RNA, 130 nt
Filed under: Asparagus filicinus
Lineage: Eukaryota; Viridiplantae; Streptophyta; Magnoliopsida; Asparagales; Asparagaceae
Also listed under: 1 other name
Description: 5.8S ribosomal RNA
Rfam family: 5.8S ribosomal RNA
About the family: 5.8S ribosomal RNA (5.8S rRNA) is a component of the large subunit of the eukaryotic ribosome. It is transcribed by RNA polymerase I as part of the 45S precursor that also contains 18S and 28S rRNA. Functionally, it is thought that 5.8S rRNA may be involved in ribosome translocation.
Source: RNAcentral